CACCAAGGCUCAGGUUGUAAUGGUUUCUUUUGUUUCCUAUUAAUACAAAUAAGUCCAUUCUUCUCAACAAUUUGUUAUUAAUGAGUUGUUUCAUAUACUGCUUGGUCUAUAUGUUGAAUAUGUUUUAUUUUAUGAGAUAUUCAGGUGCUAUGUAAUCGUUUGAUUGUUAGUGAAUUUAGGUUUCGAAGUGAAGGAAGAGCUCAUCCAGAUCAACGAGGUUGAACUACUACAACAACGUUGGACUACAGGUAGGAUCUAAAACACUUGAUUUCUUGUAUGGUAAAUGCAUGUUUAGAGAAGGAUUGCUCUUAAUUGUCUUGUUUGUCACUAGAAAUUCUUAGGCUUCUAGGGAGGUUGGUUUUGUCCGCAAGUUUAACUCUUUCUGCAUGACACAUUGUCGACUGACCUUGAGGUUAUGCGAAGGGUUCAAGUGCAAACACACCUGUUGGGACCUGAAAGAUGGUGAACUGUGCCUGAGCAAGGCGAAGCAAGAGGAAACUCUGGUGGAGUAUCGUAGCGAUAAUGAUGUGAAAAUUGUUUUCUAACUUGGCUAUAGGGGCAAAAGAAUAAUCAAACCAUCUAGUAGCUGGUUUCCUCUAAAUUUUCUCUCAGGAUAGUUGCAGCUCAUGCGCAAGUUCUAUCAGGUCAAACAAAUGAUUAGAGGCAUCGAGGGCAUAACGCCCUCAAUCUAUUCUCAAACUUUAAAUAGGUAAGAGGGUGCAACUGCUCCAUUGAGCCACGCCAUGGAAUCGAGAGCUCCAAGUGGGCCAUUUUUGGUAAGCAGAACUAGUGAUGCGGGAUGAACCGAAAUUUGAGUUACAGUGCCGAAUUGCGCGCUAACCUAGAUCCCACAAAAGGUGUUGGUUGAUUAAGAUAACAGGACGGUGGUCAUGGAAGUCAAAAUCCACUAAGGAGUGUGUAACAACUCACCUUAGAACUUUGAAGAGUGAAGUGGAGAAAGGUUCCAUGUGAACAACACUUGGACAUGGGUUAGUCGAUCCUAAGAGAUGGGGAAUCCUUGUAUCAAGGGUGCACUCUGCAGAAGCAUCUAAAGGGAAUCAGGUUAAUAUUUCCAAAUCGGGACAUGGUGAUGGGUGACAACGUUAGGAAAUCCAAAGACGUCAUCGGGGGCCCUGGGAAGAGUUAUCAUUUCAUUUUAACAGCUUUCCCACCCUAGAAUUGAUUCACCUAGAGAUAGGGUCCAGUAGCUAGAAGAGCACCAUAUGCCUUGCAGUGUCCGGUACACCCUCGAUGGCCCUUGAAAAUCUGGAGGAGCGAGUACUGUUCAAGCCUGGUCAUACUCGUAACCACAUCAGGUCUUCAAGGUGAACAAGCUCUGGUCAAUAGAAAAAUUUAGGUAAGGGAAGUCAGCAAAACGGAUCCAUGACUUCAAGAAAAGGAUUGGCUCUUAGGGCUGGGCCUAGGGCUCCGCGCCCUCAAAUCGUGGGUUGUCGACAGUCUACCCAAGCUGCUCUCAUGGCGAGGGUAGGCAGUCGUGUGCCAAUUGGUCUACAACAUAGAAGUCCCCCUAUUGGGGGCUUUUCCCUAGGUGUUGAACAGUCGACUCAGAACUAGUAUAGACAAGGGGAAUCUGACUGUUUAAUUAAAACAAAGAAUUGCGAUGGUCCCUACAGAUGUUGGCGCAAUGUGAUUUCUUCCUAGUGCUUUGAAUGUAAAAGUUAAGAAAUUCAACCAAGCACAAGUAAAUGGUAGGAGUAACUAUGACUCUCUUAAGGUAGCCAAAUGCCUCGUCAUCUAAUUAGUGACAUUCAUGAAUGGAUUAACGAUAUUCCCACUAUCCCUAUCUACUAUCUAGCGAAACCACAACCAAGCAAAUAGGCUUUGCAAAAUCAGCGGGAAAGGAAUACCCUGUUGAGCUUGAGUCUAGUCUGACUUUGUGAAAUGACUUGUGUCCAACUUUGUGAAGUAGGCACAGACCGUGUACUCAAGUAUUGGUAAAAGGAAAAGGUACGGCAGUGUCGCACCCGUUUAUGUGUGGUUGAAAUACUACCACUAGGAUAGGAGUGUGACAUGGGGUCUCUCGGUCCCUCCUCGAUAAAAGUUGUCAAAUUGCACGGAACUUGGGGAUUCCAUGUCCUGCCUUGUCAAAGGCCUCCCAAGUGCAAGAAAUUUGGGGUUUCCAUGUCUCAUCACGAUGGAAAUCACCCCAGGUGUAGUAAACCUAGUGUACAUCGAGUCUGCAACCUCACAUCAAUAAAAAGGCUCAGUUGUUCAAGAGAAUGAAGGUCCCUUCAUUAGUAAAGGAUCUCACUAAGGAUCAAAGGUUGGAGUCUCUUCUAGAUAUAGUCCACCAAGGAAUAUCAAAAGUUGAAAGAAGGACAUAGUGUCGGGGAAUGAAGUUCUGAAGAAACAAAGUGUAGAGAGGAGGAAGGACUCGACUUGUUCUUGGAGGAUCUUAUUGUCAAGGGUCUAGGGCUUCACAAUGACUAAUAAGAAGCUUCAAUAAUAUAAAUUUAUGAAAGGAUUUUCCUCUCUGAGAGAAAGAGGUUUUCCCCUUGCAGAGAGCCAACAUCUUGUGUUCUUGUUCUUAUGUUUUUGGCACCAGUUUGAUGAAGUAAAUACACAUGCAUUAAUAAGAAAAGAAGAUUAAGAUAACAAGAUAAAUUGUAAAAGAGCUUCACAAAUUGUUAUCAAGUCUAGAAUAAUCCCGCUAUACCCCAUUUCCCCAAAUUCUUCAAUGUGGUAUCGGAGCUAAGGUGACACCUCAAGGAAAGGGAAUUUCAAGAACAUUAGCAAGGUUGUAGCAUAAAGCCAAGAAGUCUCAAUCACAUCAUGGACAAGAAGGUCUGCCAUCUAUCA
RNAcentral lists this ribosomal RNA (2820 nucleotides) under Pinus taeda (loblolly pine). RNAcentral describes it as "eukaryotic LSU rRNA". The stretch from base 1 to 2122 matches the Rfam family "Eukaryotic large subunit ribosomal RNA", at positions 407 to 3401 of the family's 3401-position model. The record is from RNAcentral. Lineage: Eukaryota; Viridiplantae; Streptophyta; Pinopsida; Pinales; Pinaceae.